This 452-nucleotide ribosomal RNA is filed under the name uncultured cyanobacterium. Its description in RNAcentral is "bacterial SSU rRNA". It matches the Rfam family "Bacterial small subunit ribosomal RNA", at positions 28 to 524 of the family's 1533-position model. Lineage: Bacteria; Bacillati; Cyanobacteriota. The record is from RNAcentral.
GAUGAACGCUGGCGGUAUGCUUAACACAUGCAAGUCGAACGGUACCUUCGGGUAUAGUGGCGGACGGGUGAGUAACGCGUGAGAAUCUGUCUUCAGGUCGGGGACAACAGUUAGAAAUGACUGCUAAUACCGGAUGUGCCGAGAGAUAAAAGAUUUAUUGCCUGAAAGAGAGCUCGCGUCAGAUUAGCUAGUAGGUGGUGUAAGAGACUACCUAGGCGACGAUCUGUAGCUGGUCUGAGGGGACGAUCAGCCACACUGGAACUGAGACACGGUCCAGACUCCUACGGGAGGCAGCAGUGGGGGAAUUUUCCGCAAUGGGCGAAAGCCUGACGGAGCAAUACCGCGUGAGGGACGAAGGCUUUUGGGUCGUAAACCUCUUUUAUUAGGGAAGAUUUCGGGACGGUACCUAAUGAAUAAGCAUCGGCUAACUCUGUGCCAGCAGCCGCGGUAAU